UACAGAGGUCUCAAGCGUUGUUCGGAUUCAUUGGGCGUAAAGGGUGCGUAGGCGGCGGGGUAAGUCGGAUGUGAAAUCCUGGGGCUCAACCUCAGAACUGCAUUCGAUACUGCCCUGCUUGAGUACUGGAGAGGAGACUGGAAUUUACGGUGUAGCAGUGAAAUGCGUAGAUAUCGUAAGGAAGACCAGUGGCGAAGGCGAGUCUCUGGACAGUUACUGACGCUGAGGCACGAAGGCCAGGGGAGCAAACGGG
This 253-nucleotide ribosomal RNA is filed under the name uncultured bacterium. Its description in RNAcentral is "partial 16S ribosomal RNA". It matches the Rfam family "Bacterial small subunit ribosomal RNA", at positions 524 to 776 of the family's 1533-position model. The record is from RNAcentral.